AGAAUCAACGCUGGCGGCGUGCCUAACACAUGCAAGUCGCACGAGAAAGGGUAGCAAUACCUGAGUACAGUGGCGCACGGGUGAGUAACACGUGACUAAUCUACCUUUGAGUGGGGAAUAACCUGGGGAAACCCGGGCUAAUACCGCAUAAUACCUACGGGUCAAAGCAGCAAUGCGCUUAAAGAGGAGGUCGCGGUCGAUUAGUUAGUUGGCGGGGUAAUGGCCCACCAAGACGAUGAUCGAUAUCCGGCCUGAGAGGGCGCACGGACACACUGGAACUGAAACACGGUCCAGACUCCUACGGGAGGCAGCAGUGGGGAAUUUUGCGCAAUGGGGGGAAACCCCUGACGCAGCAACGCCGCGUGGAGGAUGAAGUAUCUUGGUACGUAAACUCCUUUCGAUAGGGAAGAUAAUGACGGUACCUAUAGAAGAAGCCCCGGCUAACUUCGCGCCAGCAGCCGC
Molecule: ribosomal RNA, 462 nt
Filed under: uncultured bacterium
Lineage: Bacteria
Description: SSU rRNA
Rfam family: Bacterial small subunit ribosomal RNA
Source: RNAcentral